UAAUACGAAGGGUGCAAGCGUUAAUCGGAAUUACUGGGCGUAAAGCGUGCGUAGGUGGUUCGUUAAGUCUGUUGUGAAAGCCCUGGGCUCAACCUGGGAAUGGCGAUGGAUACUGGCGAGCUAGAGUACGGUAGAGGAUGGUGGAAUUCCCGGUGUAGCGGUGAAAUGCGUAGAGAUCGGGAGGAACAUCAGUGGCGAAGGCGGCCAUCUGGACCAGUACUGACGCUGAGGCACGAAAGCGUGGGGAGCAAACAGGAUUAGAUACCCUGGUAGUCCACGCCCUAAACGAUGCGAACUGGACGUUGGGCACAAUUUGGUGCUCAGUGUCGAAGCUAACGCGUUAAGUUCGCCGCCUGGGGAGUACGCUCGCAAGAGUG
This 377-nucleotide ribosomal RNA is filed under the name uncultured bacterium. Its description in RNAcentral is "bacterial SSU rRNA". It matches the Rfam family "Bacterial small subunit ribosomal RNA", at positions 521 to 896 of the family's 1533-position model. The record is from RNAcentral.